CAAAUUAAAGUUUGUAAUAAAUAUUUCAUUUACAUUGAAAAGAAAUUGAUUUAGUUCAUUUAAUUUGA
Molecule: transfer RNA, 68 nt
Filed under: Zygaena ecki ecki
Lineage: Eukaryota; Metazoa; Arthropoda; Insecta; Lepidoptera; Zygaenidae
Description: transfer RNA-Val (GUN)
Source: RNAcentral